Molecule: ribosomal RNA, 253 nt
Filed under: uncultured bacterium
Lineage: Bacteria
Description: partial 16S ribosomal RNA
Rfam family: Bacterial small subunit ribosomal RNA
Source: RNAcentral
UACGAAGGGGGCGAGCGUUGUUCGGAUUUACUGGGCGUAAAGGGCGCGUAGGCGGCCUUGUCAGUCAGGCGUGAAAGCCCCGGGCUCAACCUGGGAACGGCGCUUGGGACGGCGAGGCUGGAGUUCGGGAGAGGAGAGUGGAAUUCCCAGUGUAGCGGUGAAAUGCGUAGAUAUUGGGAGGAACACCAGUGGCGAAGGCGGCUCGCUGGACCGGUUCUGACGCUGAGGCGCGAAAGCGUGGGGAGCAAACGGG